RNAcentral lists this ribosomal RNA (507 nucleotides) under Phoma sp. CN52. Its description in RNAcentral is "eukaryotic LSU rRNA". The stretch from base 146 to 299 matches the Rfam family "5.8S ribosomal RNA". Lineage: Eukaryota; Fungi; Ascomycota; Dothideomycetes; Pleosporales; Didymellaceae. The record is from RNAcentral.
CAUUACCUAGAGUUGUAGGCUUUGCCUGCUAUCUCUUACCCAUGUCUUUUGAGUACCUUACGUUUCCUCGGCGGGUCCGCCCGCCGAUUGGACAAUUUAAACCAUUUGCAGUUGCAAUCAGCGUCUGAAAAAACUUAAUAGUUACAACUUUCAACAACGGAUCUCUUGGUUCUGGCAUCGAUGAAGAACGCAGCGAAAUGCGAUAAGUAGUGUGAAUUGCAGAAUUCAGUGAAUCAUCGAAUCUUUGAACGCACAUUGCGCCCCUUGGUAUUCCAUGGGGCAUGCCUGUUCGAGCGUCAUUUGUACCUUCAAGCUCUGCUUGGUGUUGGGUGUUUGUCUCGCCUCUGCGUGUAGACUCGCCUCAAAACAAUUGGCAGCCGGCGUAUUGAUUUCGGAGCGCAGUACAUCUCGCGCUUUGCACUCAUAACGACGACGUCCAAAAGUACAUUUUUACACUCUUGACCUCGGAUCAGGUAGGGAUACCCGCUGAACUUAAGCAUAUCAAUA